RNAcentral lists this ribosomal RNA (198 nucleotides) under uncultured bacterium. RNAcentral describes it as "partial 16S ribosomal RNA". It matches the Rfam family "Bacterial small subunit ribosomal RNA", at positions 328 to 539 of the family's 1533-position model. The record is from RNAcentral.
ACGCUCGACACCUACGGGGGGCAGCAGUGGGGAAUAUUGCACAAUGGGGGAAACCCUGAUGCAGCGAUGCCGCGUGAAGGAAGAAGUAUCUCGGUAUGUAAACUUCUAUCAGCAGGGAAGAAAAUGACGGUACCUGACUAAGAAGCCCCGGCUAACUACGUGCCGGCAGCCGCGGUAAUCUGAGCGGGCUGGCAAGGC